UACGGGGGGGGGCAAGCGUUGUUCGGAAUUACUGGGCGUAAAGGGCUCGUAGGCGGCCAACUAAGUCAGACGUGAAAUCCCUCAGCUUAACUGGGGAACUGCGUCUGAUACUGGAUGGCUUGAGAUUGGGAGAGGGAUGCGGAAUUCCAGGUGUAGCGGUGAAAUGCGUAGAUAUCUGGAGGAACACCGGUGGCGAAGGCGGCAUCCUGGACCAACACUGACGCUGAGGAGCGAAAGCCAGGGGAGCAAACAGG
Molecule: ribosomal RNA, 254 nt
Filed under: uncultured bacterium
Lineage: Bacteria
Description: partial 16S ribosomal RNA
Rfam family: Bacterial small subunit ribosomal RNA
Source: RNAcentral